AUGAACGCUAGCGGCAGGCUUAAUACAUGCAAGGUUGAGGGGCAGCAUGAUAUACGCGAGUAUAUUGAUGGCGACCGGCGGGACGGGUGAGUAAUAGGUAGGAGACCUACCUCAUACAGGGGGAUAGCAUAGAGAAAUCUGUGGUAAUACCCCAUGAGGUUAUAUGAAUAGAGGCAUAUAAUCAAAGCAUAAGCGAUUAUGCGGUAUGAGAGGGGCCUACUGACCAUUAGCUAGUUGGUGAGGUAAGGGCUCACCAAGGCGAAGAUGGUUAGGGGUUUUGAGAGAGAGACCCCCCACAUUGGAACUGAGAGACGGUCCAGACUCCUACGGGAGGCAGCAGUAGGGAAUAUUGGGCAAUGGGCGAAAGCCUGACCCAGCCAUGCCGCGUGAAGGAAGACGGCCUUAUGGGUUGUAAACUUCUUUACUACGCGAAUAGAGGUUAGUACGAGAUACUAAUAGGAAGGUAGUGUAGUAAAAAGCACCGGCUAACUCCGUG
This 496-nucleotide ribosomal RNA is filed under the name uncultured bacterium. RNAcentral describes it as "bacterial SSU rRNA". It matches the Rfam family "Bacterial small subunit ribosomal RNA", at positions 30 to 507 of the family's 1533-position model. The record is from RNAcentral.